RNAcentral lists this ribosomal RNA (253 nucleotides) under uncultured bacterium. RNAcentral's name for it is "partial 16S ribosomal RNA". It matches the Rfam family "Bacterial small subunit ribosomal RNA", at positions 524 to 776 of the family's 1533-position model. The record is from RNAcentral.
AACGUAGGAGACAAACGUUAUCCGGAGUUACUGGGCGUAAAGGGCGUGUAGGUGGUAGUGUAAGUCUGGCGUGAAAUUUUUCGGCUUAACCGGGAAAGGUCGUCGGAUACUGCACAACUAGAGGACGGUAGAGGCGGGUGGAAUUCCGGGUGUAGCGGUGGAAUGCGUAGAGAUCCGGAAGAACACCAGUGGCGAAGGCGGCCCGCUGGGCAGUGGCUGACGCUGAGGCGCGACAGCGUGGGGAGCAAACAGG